UGAGGAAUAUUGGUCAAUGGCCGGAAGGCUGAACCAGCCAAGCCGCGUGGAGGAUGAAGGCGCUAAGCGUCGUAAACUUCUUUUGUUGAGGGACAAAAUCCGUCACGAGUGACGGACUGAGGGUACUCAAAGAAAAAGCAUCGGCUAACUCCGUGCCAGCAGCCGCGGUAAUACGGAGGAUGCGAGCGUUAUCCGGAUUUAUUGGGUUUAAAGGGUGCGUAGGCGGACUGUUAAGUCAGCGGUAAAAGCCCGGAGCUCAACUCCGGCGAGCCGUUGAAACUGGUGGUCUUGAGUUGGAGAGAAGUAGGCGGAAUGCGCGGUGUAGCGGUGAAAUGCUUAGAUAUCGCGCAGAACUCCGAUUGCGAAGGCAGCCUACCGGCUCCACACUGACGCUGAGGCACGAAAGCGUGGGUAUCGAACAGGAUUAGAUACC
Molecule: ribosomal RNA, 433 nt
Filed under: uncultured bacterium
Lineage: Bacteria
Description: bacterial SSU rRNA
Rfam family: Bacterial small subunit ribosomal RNA
Source: RNAcentral